Non-coding RNA from Vicia faba (fava bean), 210 nucleotides. Lineage: Eukaryota; Viridiplantae; Streptophyta; Magnoliopsida; Fabales; Fabaceae. The record is from the annotation of a GenBank genome assembly.
AUGAGUAAGAUUUGUGUAUGGGUUGCACUCUAUCUCUCAUCAACCAUAUCACUUUCGUCUCAUUCUAAAAGAUUCGUCCCAAUCAUCAUCACCACUUCCUCUGCCCAACCCAUUCAAAACUCCAUUUCCACCACCGUCUACCUCUUUUUUCCACCGAUCCUCCUCCUCCAACAAGAUCUUGCCAUUUGGGAUUGGUCACCUGAAGUUUGA